GCCUCUGUAGCUCAGUGGAAGAGCAGGCGCGUCCUAAGCGAAUGGUCGGGGGUUCGAAUCCCUCCAGGGGCACCG
RNAcentral lists this transfer RNA (75 nucleotides) under Microbacterium sp. RNAcentral describes it as "tRNA-Arg". It matches the Rfam family "tRNA". Rfam says of the family: Transfer RNA (tRNA) molecules are approximately 80 nucleotides in length. Their secondary structure includes four short double-helical elements and three loops (D, anti-codon, and T loops). The record is from RNAcentral. Lineage: Bacteria; Bacillati; Actinomycetota; Actinomycetes; Micrococcales; Microbacteriaceae.